CGAUUGGGUGACGCGGAGGGACAUUACCGAGUUUACAACUCCCAAACCCCAAUGUGAACGUUACCAAACUGUUGCCUCGGCGGGAUUUCUGCCCCGGGCGCGUCGCAGCCCCGGACCAAGGCGCCCGCCGGAGGACCAAUCUACAAACUCUUUUGUAUAUCCCAUCGCGGAUUCUUUACAUUCUGAGCUUUCUCGGCGCUCCUAGCGAGCGUUUCGAAAAUGAAUCAAAACUUUCAACAACGGAUCUCUUGGUUCUGGCAUCGAUGAAGAACGCAGCGAAAUGCGAUAAGUAAUGUGAAUUGCAGAAUUCAGUGAAUCAUCGAAUCUUUGAACGCACAUUGCGCCCGCCAGUAUUCUGGCGGGCAUGCCUGUCCGAGCGUCAUUUCAACCCUCGAACCCCUCCGGGGGGUCGGCGUUGGGGAUCGGCACUUACCUGCCGGCCCCGAAAUACAGUGGCGGUCUCGCCGCAGCCUCUCAUGCGCAGUAGUUUGCACACUCGCACCGGGAGCGCGGCGCGUCCACGGCCGUAAAACAACCCAAACUUCUGAAAUGUUGACCUCGGAUCAGGUAGGAAUACCCGCUGAACUUAAGCAUAUCAAUAAGCGGAGG
Molecule: ribosomal RNA, 609 nt
Filed under: Trichoderma brevicompactum
Lineage: Eukaryota; Fungi; Ascomycota; Sordariomycetes; Hypocreales; Hypocreaceae
Description: eukaryotic LSU rRNA
Rfam family: 5.8S ribosomal RNA (bases 229-382)
Source: RNAcentral